This 72-nucleotide transfer RNA is filed under the name Pangasius djambal. RNAcentral describes it as "tRNA-Lys". It matches the Rfam family "tRNA". From Rfam's summary of the family: Transfer RNA (tRNA) molecules are approximately 80 nucleotides in length. Their secondary structure includes four short double-helical elements and three loops (D, anti-codon, and T loops). The record is from RNAcentral. Lineage: Eukaryota; Metazoa; Chordata; Actinopteri; Siluriformes; Pangasiidae.
UCCCUGGAGGACUAGUGGUUAGGCUUCGGUGCUCUUACCGCUGCGGCCCAGGUUCAAUUCCCAGCCAGGGAA